GCGUGGCAAUGAUAAAUAUUGAAAUGAUAACUUAGUAAAACAACUUUAGGCUAAGAAUAAAAUAAAAUAAAAUAAAAAGAACUUUUGCAACGUGAGACGUAAAGAAAUGAACCAACACUUUCUUUCUUCAAUCAAGGAUAAGAAAUGAACUUCUUUUCUAAUUAAAAAUUAAAUCACCGCAUUUUGUUUGCUGGACAUCAUCGUUCGUCUCUUGCCUCCAAUAAUCCAAAUGACCUGCUUUCUCCAAAUAUAAUAUUUCAAUGAAAACAUGCU
This 273-nucleotide long non-coding RNA is filed under the name Vigna radiata. RNAcentral describes it as "long non-coding RNA (VRAD_LNC016670)". The record is from RNAcentral. Lineage: Eukaryota; Viridiplantae; Streptophyta; Magnoliopsida; Fabales; Fabaceae.